Long non-coding RNA from Episyrphus balteatus (marmalade hoverfly), 522 nucleotides. RefSeq lists it as uncharacterized. The transcript is spliced from 2 exons. Lineage: Eukaryota; Metazoa; Arthropoda; Insecta; Diptera; Syrphidae. The record is from RefSeq and is a predicted model, not a curated record.
GAAGGUAUGAUCAUUAGAAAAAACUCCCCUUCAAGCAAGAAAACUGAGUUCAACAAAGAAACUCCGACCUCAGACCGCGAAAAUCGGGCUUGCACUCACACACUUGCAACUUUUUGUGUAUGAACACAAAGUCGAACGAGAAUCGUGGUGAAAAAUGAGAAAAGGAAAAGAAAGACAAGGCCAACAAGAGCCAAAGCGUCAUGUUGUUAUUUUUUGUUUAAGUGUUUGUGUCGCGUCGUGUCUCGUGUCGUUGUUUGUAUAAUGUUAGUUUAUUAAUUAUAAACAAUUUUAUUAAAUUAUAAACAAUAUGGAAAACAAAAAAGAUGUAAUCUCUAAUGAUGCAGAAAAAUCUAGAAGGUGAAACAUGCGAUUGGGUAUCUAAAAAAACACCAACAACAGCAGCAGCAUCAAAUGAAAUAAAAUGAAAAAAAAUGUAUUGUAUUUUAUAUUGUAUUUAUUGUGAAAAUUUCGUUUGCCAAAAUAAAAUAAAAAAUAAAACAGUUUCAGUGAAAAAAAAAUAAA